GAAGGCACAGCUCAGUGGUAGAGCGAGUGCUUAGCACGCCUGAGGUCCUGGGUUCAGUUCCCAGUACCUCCA
RNAcentral lists this transfer RNA (72 nucleotides) under Camelus bactrianus (Bactrian camel). It matches the Rfam family "tRNA". Rfam says of the family: Transfer RNA (tRNA) molecules are approximately 80 nucleotides in length. Their secondary structure includes four short double-helical elements and three loops (D, anti-codon, and T loops). Lineage: Eukaryota; Metazoa; Chordata; Mammalia; Artiodactyla; Camelidae. RNAcentral also lists the same sequence under 2 other names. The record is from Rfam by way of RNAcentral.